CUGAUGCAGCCAUGCCGCGUGAGUGAUGAAGGCCUUMGGGUUGUAAAGCUCUUUCAGCAGGGAAGAUAAUGACGKGACUNGUAGARGAAGCCCCGGACUAACUCUCGUGACCAGCAGCCGCGGUAAU
RNAcentral lists this ribosomal RNA (127 nucleotides) under uncultured bacterium. Its description in RNAcentral is "partial 16S ribosomal RNA". It matches the Rfam family "Bacterial small subunit ribosomal RNA", at positions 383 to 524 of the family's 1533-position model. The record is from RNAcentral.